AAUGAACGUUGGCGGCGUGGAUUAGGCAUGCAAGUCGAGCGAGAACCGUAGCAAUACGGGGACAGCGGCGAAAGGGACAGUAAUGCGUAGGUACCUACCCUGAGGUUCGGGAUAGCUGCGGGAAACUGCAGGUAAUACCGAAUAAUGUAUUCGGACCAAAGGUGUGACUCCACCUUGGGAGGGGCCUGCGUCCUAUUAGCUAGUUGGGGAGGUAACGGCUCACCAAGGCAACGAUGGGUAGCGGGUGUGAGAGCACGACCCGCGUCAUUGGGACUGAGAUACUGCCCAGACACCUACGGGUGGCUGCAGUCGAGGAUCUUCGGCAAUGGGCGAAAGCCUGACCGAGCGACGCCGCGUGCGGGAUGAAGGCCUUCGGGUUGUAAACCGCUGUCGUAGAGGAGGAAAUGCAGGGGGGUUCUCCCCUCUGUUUGACCUAUUCUAGGAGGAAGGACGGGCUAAGUUCGUGCCAGCCGCCGCAGUAA
This 482-nucleotide ribosomal RNA is filed under the name uncultured bacterium. RNAcentral's name for it is "partial 16S ribosomal RNA". It matches the Rfam family "Bacterial small subunit ribosomal RNA", at positions 29 to 523 of the family's 1533-position model. The record is from RNAcentral.